CAAUGUUUAAGAAGGAACUGCAAAUGCUACAAAAUCGGAGGUAGACAAAAAUUCUGGAGAAACUCAGCGGGUGAGGCAGCACCUAUGGAGCGAAGGAAAUAGGCAAUGUUUCAGGUUGAGACCCUUCUUCUGAUACAAAGACAGUUACCUGAAAUGUAAUUCGAAAUGGAGUUGGGAAGAUUGCAAAUUAGUCAGACGAAACUGAAGUGUUUCAGUCUGAAGGAAUAGUCUCGACACAGUAGAUGAGGUGUUGCCUGACCCCGCUGAGUUCCUCCCAACAUUCUUCUUUGUUUUUUUAUUGUUGCUCAAAACACGUAGUACUGUUCAUCACAUUUACCUUGGGCCUCGUCAACACUUGCUCAUUUUACCAAGUAAUCUUGCUACUCACUGGGGUCAGUGGGAGGUUGUAACCUUCACGUGGUCCGCCCUGUUUAAACGAAUGCAAUCAACCUGGCGUGCACAAUCAAAUAAGAUCAAAUAGAACAAGUUGUCCUACAACAUUAGGCUGUGCACGCCAUACGCAAGAAGAAGAAGCUACUCACUCUCCAAAGAGCCCAAUUCUGCCCAAACGUCUCCUGUCACUCGAGGGGUGGAGACUCCCCAAGAGGGAAGGGAUCCAGGUCCUGAAUGAAUAGCAGGUCCAGACGCUAGGUGGGGCAACAUUGAAGCUUUCCGAAAGCAGCUGAAGGCAAGCAACAGAGACACGUGUUAACGUGCUUUGGAGGCGUUUCACUGAAAUAGAUCAGCUGACCGUGGCUCCUGUGCCUUUACUCUGGAAAUGCAGGCGAUGCUACUCCCGAUGAGCCGACUCCCUGAGGUACAAGGAAAAACAAAAACAUUUAAAAUUAAUCUGCACAGCCCUCUACAUAACGGCAAUGGAAGUGGAGUAGAUCUGAAUCACUGAAUGCACACCGUUCCAGUGGCAAAUCCGAAAACAGCACAAUAGAAACACCACCAUCAGCUAGGAUCAACGUCAAAGGAGAAGAAGCGAAGCAUGAACGGAAAUUAAAUCACUGCAAGACCCAUGUACAGGAGGCCACACCAGGAACACUGGCUGCAGUAGAUGAGGCUAGAAGAGAUGCAUGUGCAUCUGUCUCCUCUGGAAGGACUGCUGGGGUGUUCUUCUUUAAAUUGUUCAAUUGACAUUCCAUUGAAGUUUGUGAAACCAGGUGGCCCUUAAAAAUCAAUAACAAGAUGAAUGUUCUACCUUCAGAUGCAGUGAUA
Leucoraja erinaceus (little skate) is the source of this 1224-nucleotide long non-coding RNA. RefSeq lists it as uncharacterized. NCBI's taxonomy places the organism in Eukaryota, Metazoa, Chordata, Chondrichthyes, Rajiformes, Rajidae. The transcript has 3 exons. The record is from RefSeq and is a predicted model, not a curated record.